UACGUAGGGUGCGAGCGUUGUCCGGAAUUAUUGGGCGUAAAGGGCUCGUAGGCGGUUUGUCGCGUCGGGAGUGAAAUCCACUGGCUUAACUGGUGGCUUGCUUUCGAUACGGGCAGACUGGAGGUAUGCAGGGGAGAACGGAAUUCCUGGUGUGGCGGUGAAAUGCGCAGAUAUCAGGAGGAACACCGGUGGCGAAGGCGGUUCUCUGGGCAUGUCCUGACGCUGAGGAGCGAAAGUGUGGGGAGCGAACAGG
RNAcentral lists this ribosomal RNA (253 nucleotides) under uncultured bacterium. RNAcentral describes it as "partial 16S ribosomal RNA". It matches the Rfam family "Bacterial small subunit ribosomal RNA", at positions 524 to 776 of the family's 1533-position model. The record is from RNAcentral.